GGACAUGAAGUGGCGAACGGGUGAGUAAUACGUGACCAACCUGCCCCCUUGCUCCGGGACAACCUUGGGAAACCGAGGCUAAUACCGGAUACUCCUCGCCCCCCUCCUGGGGGGCCCGGGAAAGCCCAGACGGCAAGGGAUGGGGUCGCGGCCCAUUAGGUAGUAGGCGGGGUAACGGCCCACCUAGCCCGCGAUGGGUAGCCGGGUUGAGAGACCGACCGGCCACAUUGGGACUGAGAUACGGCCCAGACUCCUACGGGAGGCAGCAUG
RNAcentral lists this ribosomal RNA (270 nucleotides) under uncultured bacterium. RNAcentral's name for it is "partial 16S ribosomal RNA". It matches the Rfam family "Bacterial small subunit ribosomal RNA", at positions 86 to 353 of the family's 1533-position model. The record is from RNAcentral.